This 467-nucleotide ribosomal RNA is filed under the name uncultured bacterium. Its description in RNAcentral is "partial 16S ribosomal RNA". It matches the Rfam family "Bacterial small subunit ribosomal RNA", at positions 28 to 507 of the family's 1533-position model. The record is from RNAcentral.
GUUGAACGCUGACCGAAUGCUUAACACAUGCAAGUCAACUUGAAUUUGGGUUUUUAACUUAGGUUUGGGUGGCGGACGGGUGAGUAACGCGUAAAGAACUUGCCGCACGGCUAGGGACAACAUUGGGAAACGAAUGCUAAUACCUAAUAUUAUGAUAAUAGGGCAUCCUAUAAUUAUGAAAGCUAUAAGCGCUGUGAGAGAGCUUUGCGUCCCAUUAGCUAGUUGGAGAGGUAACGGCUCACCAAGGCGAUGAUGGGUAGCCGGUCUGAGAGGGUGAUCGGCCACAAGGGGACUGAGACACGGCCAUUACUCAGACGGGAGGCAGCAGUGGGGAAUAUUGGACAAUGGACCGAGAGUCUGAUCCAGCAAUUCUGUGUGCACGAUGAAGUUUUUCGGAAUGUAAAGUGCUUUCAGUUGGGAAGAAACAAAUGACGGUACCAACAGAAGAAGUGACGGCUAAAUACGUG